This 101-nucleotide non-coding RNA is filed under the name Oceanobacillus massiliensis. The record is from RNAcentral. Lineage: Bacteria; Bacillati; Bacillota; Bacilli; Caryophanales; Bacillaceae.
UUCACGUAUUCAGCAUAGGCACCUGGAUGGCGGGCGCCGAUGACGGUUAGUUUUUCACACUGUGAUGGCUCGCCCUUUCUGCAGCUUUCGCAUUUACCGCA